Molecule: ribosomal RNA, 1056 nt
Filed under: Listeria monocytogenes
Lineage: Bacteria; Bacillati; Bacillota; Bacilli; Caryophanales; Listeriaceae
Description: partial 23S ribosomal RNA
Rfam family: Bacterial large subunit ribosomal RNA
Source: RNAcentral
GCUUUCCCUCCAGAGUGGAUCCUGAGUACGGCGGAACACGUGAAAUUCCGUCGGAAUCCGGGAGGACCAUCUCCCAAGGCUAAAUACUCCCUAGUGACCGAUAGUGAACCAGUACCGUGAGGGAAAGGUGAAAAGCACCCCGGAAGGGGAGUGAAACAGUUCCUGAAACCGUGUGCCUACAAGUAGUUAGAGCCCGUUAAUGGGUGAUAGCGUGCCUUUUGUAGAAUGAACCGGCGAGUUACGAUUUGUUGCAAGGUUAAGCGGAAAAAGCGGAGCCGUAGCGAAAGCGAGUCUGAAUAGGGCGCAUAAGUAACAGGUCGUAGACCCGAAACCAGGUGAUCUACCCAUGUCCAGGAUGAAGGUAAGGUAAUACUUACUGGAGGUCCGAACCCACGCACGUUGAAAAGUGCGGGGAUGAGGUGUGGGUAGCGGAGAAAUUCCAAUCGAACUUGGAGAUAGCUGGUUCUCUCCGAAAUAGCUUUAGGGCUAGCCUCGAGGUAAAGAGUCAUGGAGGUAGAGCACUGUUUGGACUAGGGGCCCUUCUCGGGUUACCGAAUUCAGAUAAACUCCGAAUGCCAUGUACUUAUACUCGGGAGUCAGACUGCGAGUGAUAAGAUCCGUAGUCGAAAGGGAAACAGCCCAGACCACCAGUUAAGGUCCCCAAAUAUAUGUUAAGUGGAAAAGGAUGUGGGGUUGCUUAGACAACCAGGAUGUUGGCUUAGAAGCAGCCACCAUUGAAAGAGUGCGUAAUAGCUCACUGGUCGAGUGACCCCGCGCCGAAAAUGUACCGGGGCUAAACAUAUUACCGAAACUGUGGAUGAACCUCUUUAGAGGUUCGUGGUAGGAGAGCGUUCUAAGGGCGGUGAAGUCAGACCGGAAGGACUGGUGGAGCGCUUAGAAGUGAGAAUGCCGGUAUGAGUAGCGAAAGAAGGGUGAGAAUCCCUUCCACCGAAUAUCUAAGGUUUCCUGAGGAAGGCUCGUCCGCUCAGGGUUAGUCGGGACCUAAGCCGAGGCCGAUAGGCGUAGGCGAUGGACAACAGGUAGAGAUUCCUGUAC